CAAUAGCGUAUAUUAAAGUUGUUGCAGUUAAAAAGCUCGUAGUUGGAUUUCUGGUCGGAAGCUCCUGUCCUCUGAUGAGCGUACAAGUGCGUCCUACCAUCCUUCUGUUAACCUUUAAGGCUUUCGCGGCUUUCUAGGGGCUCAGAUAUUUUACCUUGAGAAAAUUAGAGUGUUUCAGGCAGGCUAGCGCCGGAAUACAUUAGCAUGGAAUAAUGGAAUAGGACCUUUGCCUCUUCUGUUGGUCAUGAGGCUCGAGUAAUGAUUAAUAGGGAUAGUUGGGGGCAUUAGUACUUAACUGUCAGAGGUGAAAUUCUCGGAUUUGUUAAAGACUAACUUAUGCGAAAGCAUUUGCCAAGGAUGUUUNCAUUA
Molecule: ribosomal RNA, 369 nt
Filed under: uncultured eukaryote
Lineage: Eukaryota
Description: partial 18S ribosomal RNA
Rfam family: Eukaryotic small subunit ribosomal RNA
Source: RNAcentral